UCCCUGGUGGUUCAGUGGCUAAGACUCUGCACUCCCAAUGCAGGGGGCCUGGGUUCAAUCCCUGGUUAGGGAG
Molecule: transfer RNA, 73 nt
Filed under: Ovis aries (sheep)
Lineage: Eukaryota; Metazoa; Chordata; Mammalia; Artiodactyla; Bovidae
Rfam family: tRNA
About the family: Transfer RNA (tRNA) molecules are approximately 80 nucleotides in length.
Source: Rfam by way of RNAcentral